Molecule: ribosomal RNA, 450 nt
Filed under: uncultured bacterium
Lineage: Bacteria
Description: bacterial SSU rRNA
Rfam family: Bacterial small subunit ribosomal RNA
Source: RNAcentral
UGGGGAAUAUUGCGCAAUGGGGGAAACCCUGACGCAGCGACGCCGCGUGGGUGAUGAAGGCCUUCGGGUCGUAAAGCCCUGUCGGAGGGGAAGAAGGACUUCGGUGCAAAUAGUUCCGAGGUCUGACGGUACCCUUAAAGGAAGCACCGGCUAACUCCGUGCCAGCAGCCGCGGUAAUACGGAGGGUGCAAGCGUUGCUCGGAAUUACUGGGCGUAAAGCGCGUGUAGGCGGUUUCGUAUGUCUGGCGUGAAAGCCCCGGGCUCACCCCGGGAAGUGCGCUGGAAACUGCGAGACUAGAGUCCCGGAGAGGAAGGUGGAAUUCCAGGUGUAGCGGUGAAAUGCGUAGAUAUCUGGAAGAACACCGGUGGCGAAGGCGGCCUUCUGGACGGUGACUGACGCUGAGACGCGAAAGCGUGGGGAGCAAACAGGAUUAGAUACCCCCGUAGUCC